AGCGAUCACGUUGGCUUCGAUUGAGCGAGGGAUUUCUUUCCCCUCCUGAAGAAGCAGCGUUUCGCCGUCUUUUAUCGUCUUCAACCCCCACCCCAACCCUCCUAUCUGAAAACCCCUUCUCCAAGUCAGAGAUCGGGUAUUUACUCUGUUCGUAUUUUCUUCUCGGUUCCUGUUAGGGUUUUGUUUCUAUUAAGUUUUCUUUCGCCAUAUUUACCGUCCCGGGAAAACGGAAAUUCCAGGUUCCAAUUCUUACAUUGAAUAAACUCUUUGCAAAAUCCGCUUUACAUUUGUACUUGCGCUUUUGUGUGUUUCAAUUUUGUAAUUUCGUUCAAAGGGUUCAGUCAAAUUUCGAACUGAAUUUUGACUUCUUAAGCUCGAAGGUAGUUAUCGAGUGUGUUUGCGGUUUCGCCUCGAGCUUGUAGUUGCUGUGUAAUUAUGGCGGCUGGGCGACAUGGGGGUUACCGUGAGAACGAGUUCAGGGACCGGGAGACCAAUUUUCAUGUGUCGAGAAGGUCGUUUGGCAGUGCUAGGCAAGAGUUUGAAAGAGUUAAGAUCAGCAAUGAUGAUCAUGGUGUUCGUCGGAGUCUAGCGCCGGACGUUAAAGACAAGGUUAGGGUUAGGCACCAGGGUAUGAAGGAGAACGCGGUUGUUAAUGGUCAUUAUCAUUCGUCUUCUACCAGGAGCAAUUCAAGUACUAGUGAUGGUGGUGUCAGUGGCAGUGAUCAUGGUCCGAUUGAGAAUAGGGUUUCUAAUACCAUCGACAGGGAGCCGGGUGAGUUAUCCUGUGGGAGUGGAUCUGAUGAUGCAAUGGAAUCUGGAUUGGGGGUUAAAGAUAGAGAGGUUUCAAGAGUAGUAAAUAAUGGGAAGCUAUCUCCUAUGGAGAAGAAAAGAAAAUUUUCGCCUAUAGUUUGGGAUAGGGACGACAACAAAUUGAGGCAUCCAUCCCGUAAUGGGACUGUCAUAACAGUGAUGGGUCUUCCACGUCCCCAGAAGUUGACCCGCCAGUCUCCUAAUAUCAUCUCAGACCGAGGUGAAGAUACAUCUUCAGUUAGGAAUAGUGAUAGCAACAAUUUUGCAUCUUCUUCUGAAUUUAAAUCUCCUUUAGUCUCUGGACUUGAAAUGUCUGACUCAUUAGCCUCUCCUGUUUUACGAAAGCAUUUAUGCCAUAAUGUUGAAGUAGAGUUGUUAGAUAAUGAAGAUAAUGGCCCAACAAGGAAUAUCUCAUUUUCACGGUGGGCAGGUGGAAAUACCUCCCCUGCUGAUGCAGGUGAGGUUUUAGAUGAUAAAGAAAUACUAAGACAAAAGAAGAUCCUAAUUAGUGAAAUUCGGGAAAAUGAGCUACAUCGCAAGACCCCAAGUGACACAUUUUCUGAGGCUGGGGACCUCAAGAGCAAUGGUUUCAAGUCAAGCGGAACGAGAGUUAGGUCAUCUGAAUCUAAUGAACAAGGUUCCCAUUGUAGAUUUGAUUCUGGUGGUGAUGCGGAAAAGAGUGACGACAUUGAGGUUGAUGAGAGACAUGAUAUCUCUGAUGCUAGUUACAGUCCCUCAGAUACCGACUCUGAUGAUGAUAAUCAUGUUUGUGCCACCCUUGAGCCUCCAGCAACCACUCAAAGAAGUGUAAACAUGCUUCAGGGAUGUAGAAGUGUUGAUGAAUUUGAGAGACUAAACAAGAUUGACGAAGGCACCUAUGGUGUUGUGUUUAGAGCUAGAGACAAGAAGACUGGGGAAAUUGUGG
This 1735-nucleotide unclassified non-coding RNA is filed under the name Hevea brasiliensis (rubber tree). Lineage: Eukaryota; Viridiplantae; Streptophyta; Magnoliopsida; Malpighiales; Euphorbiaceae. The record is from RNAcentral.